Molecule: ribosomal RNA, 403 nt
Filed under: uncultured bacterium
Lineage: Bacteria
Description: bacterial SSU rRNA
Rfam family: Bacterial small subunit ribosomal RNA
Source: RNAcentral
UAGGGAAUAUUAGUAAUGGGCGAAAGCCUGAACUAGCAACGCCGCGUGUGCGAAGAAGGCCUUCGGGUUGUAAAGCACUUUUUGAGAGGAUGAGGAAGGACGGUACUCUCAGAAUAAGUCUCGGCUAACUACGUGCCAGCAGCCGCGGUAACACGUAGGAGGCAAACGUUAUCCGGAUUUACUGGGCGUAAAGCGCGUGUAGGUGGUUUGGUAAGUAGGGCGUGAAAGCUCCUAGCUCAACUGGGAGAGGCCGUUCUAAACUGCCGAACUAGAGGAUGGUAGAGGGAGGUGGAAUUCCGGGUGUAGCGGUGGAAUGCGCAGAUAUCCGGAGGAACACCAGUGGCGAAAGCGGCCUCCUGGACUAUUCCUGACACUCAGACGCGAAAGCUAGGGUAGCAAACGG